This is a long non-coding RNA of Talpa occidentalis (Iberian mole), 660 nucleotides long. RefSeq lists it as uncharacterized. Lineage: Eukaryota; Metazoa; Chordata; Mammalia; Eulipotyphla; Talpidae. The transcript has 4 exons. The record is from RefSeq and is a predicted model, not a curated record.
UCACCGGCGGCCGGGGAAUGAACUGGCGCUGCAGAGGCUGCGGGCAGCCACAGCCCAGCGCUCAACUGCUGUGCCACCAGGGGAGGCCCUGAAAUUGCAUAUAUUCUUAGCCUUCACAGCAACCUUAUGAGCCCUUUACAAAAGAAUGAAAGAAAAACUGAAAAAUGAAAAGGCAUAGAAAAGAAACCUUCCCAAAACCCAUCAACAGAAUAAACUGCAGUAUAUACACACAAUAGAACACUACAGAGCAAAGAGAAUGAACAACGAUCACAUGCAAUAACAUGGAUGAUUCUUAGGAAUCUAAUGUUGAGUGAAGGAAGCCAGACACAAAGAUGUGAGCAACAGCAGACUGAGUAAAGCUGAUUUACUUCUCUAAUGCGGGUUGGCCUUAUCCAAUUAGUUGAAGGUUUUAAGAGAAAAUAUGAUGUCCUCUGAAAAGGAAAAUAUUUGCCUCCAGACUGUCUUCCGAAUCUAAACUCAAACAUCAACUCCUGCUACAAAUUACAGCCUGGAAACAUUCCCUAAAAUUUUCAGACUUUGUGAGUCAACUGCUUGAAAUAAUUCUGUCAAAAUAUUCAUCUUUCUAACUCCCUUCCCUGUCUGUGUCUAUUUGUCUGUCUGUAUGCAUGUAUAUGCAUAGGCACAUCUGAUAAAUUUUGU